RNAcentral lists this unclassified non-coding RNA (319 nucleotides) under Hevea brasiliensis (rubber tree). Lineage: Eukaryota; Viridiplantae; Streptophyta; Magnoliopsida; Malpighiales; Euphorbiaceae. The record is from RNAcentral.
GGUUUAUUAUAUUAAUCGAAGUUGUUUAUUUUUAGUAGAAUGAUCUAAUCAGCAACCUCAAAGCGUCCGACCAAUCUUGCAAAGAACAGCAUUUGUUGUUCCAGCGUAAAUUUUAUAUUCUCGGCCUUGCGAAAGCCGUGUUGUUCUCCUUCGAAUUCAAUUAAAGCAACAGGGAGGCCCUUCUCUUUCAGUGCUUCGUAGAUCUUACGGGCUUGAGUAGGUGGCACAACUUUGUCAUCCAAUCCCUGGAACAAGAUUAAUGGACAAGAAAAUUUUUCAACAAAAUUAAUUGGCGACCUUUCAUAAUAUUCUCUUUCAC